GACGAAGGAUGCAAGCGUUAUCCGGAUUCAUUGGGUUUAAAGGGUGCGUAGGCGGCCUGCUAAGUCAGUGGUGAAAUCUUCUCGCUUAACGAGAGAACUGCCAUUGAUACUGGUGGGCUUGAGUACAGAUGCUGUGGGCGGAAUAUGACAUGUAGUGGUGAAAUACAUAGAGAUGUCAUAGAACACCGAUUGCGAAGGCAGCUCACAAAACUGUAACUGACGCUGAGGCACGAAAGUGCGGGGAUCAAACAGG
Molecule: ribosomal RNA, 253 nt
Filed under: uncultured bacterium
Lineage: Bacteria
Description: partial 16S ribosomal RNA
Rfam family: Bacterial small subunit ribosomal RNA
Source: RNAcentral